Molecule: long non-coding RNA, 7147 nt
Filed under: Homo sapiens (human)
Lineage: Eukaryota; Metazoa; Chordata; Mammalia; Primates; Hominidae
Description: non-protein coding lnc-CBFA2T3-1:5
Source: RNAcentral
AGAGCAAUGGGGACGGGCAGGGACAGAGCUGCGGGCUGAGGUUCCUCCGUUCGGCGAAGCCCCUUCUCUCUGCCCCCGCCUGCUCUGGGCUUUCUUGGCUAUGUCUGCUCCUGACAGGAGGGAUGUGUGUUGCCAGGGGUGGGGGCUUGGCGUGUGUGCGUGUGAGAAUAUGUGUGUGUGUUUAAAAUACAAAAAAAAAAAAAAAAGAAGCGUGCCUAUACUCAGCCGCGAGACGCUGGCCAGCCUCCAUCCGUGCCAACUCCCCUCCGAGCUGGCACUGGGGACUCCGGAGGCACGGGGAGGAGGAAGGUGCGGGCAGCUUGCGGUGAGGAUGGACGCGUGCCACCGACGUAUGCCAGCGGCUGCAGGGGGCCAAACGCCUAUCCACAAAACCCACCGCGAUCGCUGGCAGCCGUGGCGGGAGGCGGCAGCAGUUGGCAGAGGUGCCAGGGAGGGCCGGCUGGGGCAGGUGGAUCCUGGCAGCAGCAGCGCAGCUGCCCCUGCACAGGGCUGGUCUUUGUCAGGGGCGCAGCCUUGCUGGGCCACAGCAGAACAGGGGACCCUGCUGCCUGCCGCAGCCCUCCUCCCUCCACCUCCGAAUUUCACAGUCCCUGCUUCCCGCGCCGGCUCGGAGCUCCCUAGAGACUCCUGCCAGAUGUUCCUGGCAGCCUCACAUCGCUUCCCUAAUGAAAUAUUCAUGGGCCUUUCUGCCUCUUGACAUAAAGCCUUCUGCAGCUCCACGCACCAUGGAGAGGGAGCUGGCCUCCCAACAAACCCUAGGAAGGAGUGGGCGCCCGGCCAGCCCCUCCCCCUGUGCCAACCCCGGCCGCCCACUGUGCCUCCCGAGACAGUGGCUGGGCCUCCGCCUCCCCUUUGCUCUGCUAAGGGUCAGGGGUCCAGCUGCUGCGCCCUCCCCCAGCCCAGAGGCCUCCCUGCCGCCUCCGCCUCCCGAGAGCCCAGUGCCAGCUGUGCGGGCACAUCAGCCCUGGGGCUGGGCUCUGGAGGGAGGGCAGCCGCCACCCCGCAUAGGAGGGAGCCAGUACCUGUGUGUCCAGGACCACCCUCACAGGCCCAGGGAGGAGGGGUUCUCCCUACCUCUUACUUCAGUACCUUGGUGGCCAAGAGCUCCUUACCCCAUGCCAACAAGACCAGGCUCCUGGAGUCCACCUCGCCCCUAGCUGCAUGGUGGCCAGCCUGGUCUUGCAGUCACCCGAUGUCAUCCGUCCACACCUCUGUCCCUGUGCUCACGCACACGGUGUGGGCACCACGCCGGGUUCUGUGCGUGGAGAUCAGACUUCAUGACGUUGAGCAAAACCUGCCCAGCCUUGCGCUCCAGGUAUUCACGCCAGCCCCCACCAGGUCAUGUGGGCGGAGGACCUCGGGGCAGGGGUGGUGAGGGCAAGAAGGACAAGACGGAUGGAAAGUUCCAGGGCCUGGGAACUGUGUGAGGAGUAGAAAGCGGCCAGUCAGUGAGUCCUACACAGAGGGGACCUUUGUGCCCCAGGUCAAAGGAGAAGGGAGCGGGCCCCAGCCGAGUCCACACCAGCCUCUGCUCGGUCCACAGGCCCUGUCUGGCUCUGCUAGGUCUCCUCAGUCAGGAGGUCCAUGAGACCCCGGCCCCGGGUUCUGGUCUGUAGGUGGUGGCCACAGCGAGGCCCCUCUGAGCGGGAGUCUGCCCCACAUGGGGUGCCCUCUCCACGCGCCUGCGUGGCUCACCCUGGGCUCUGCUCUGCUGUGCAGGCAGGGGCCCAAAAGGCUUACCCGGGGGAUCUAGGGCUGCCCCAGUCUCUGUGAUUCCCGCGCCCCCUUGCUCCUGGCCUCUGGGUCAAGCCUUUGUCUUUAGCGGUCAUCUCGACCUUAACUGUCACCUACAGUGGCAGGGAAACAGUUACCCUACCAUUCACAGAGACAGUCUCAGCCUCCACAUUUCGGGAGACAGAAGUUCAGAGAGGCCAUGUUGCUUCCCUGAGGCCGCAGAGCCAGAAAAGAAGCUGCCUGGGCGCAUCUAUCCAGGAGCCCCGGCAUCGUCACCAGGGCCACACAAGCAGCGAGGACCCUCCCGGGAACCAGCUCCCUGACUGGGACGCCCCAGCCCUCCUGAGCUCACUGCCCAGGGAUCCGGCCAGUGCCCCUCCCCCAUGCGGGCAGUGGGCUGGGACGCGCGGGGGGAGGGGGCUUGGGCCGCGUCGUCCCUCCGCCUCCCCAGGUCCCAGCCGUCUUGCUCCCUGAGCUGCUGGCGGGGUAAUAAGCUCUGCGUGUGGUGUGGAAAUAAAGCACGUUCCACGGAACAAAUGGUGUUAAUGUGCAGAAGCACUGCAGCCCGGAGUUACCCAGCGCCUGGAGGGCGGCGCGGCAGCUGCACCAGAAUGAGCGGCUGCGCGGAGAAUCAGCGAGGCCAUACGUCCCCGUCCCCGUGGAGGGACAAAGCAUCCCAGCCCUGGCCCCCAGCAGCGCCGGCCCUCCAGGCGGGAGGCGGUUCCAGGAAGUGAAGUGAGCAGGUGCUGGGACUCCCCUCCCCUCCUGGAGGCGCCUGCCCAGAGUAGUCAGUGACCACCCCUAGGUCCCACCUGACGGCCCUGCCUGGCCAGGUGUGGUGGCCACUGGGACAGCCUCCCUCAGACCCGAGGCCACUGCCUGUGGGGUCCAGCGGCCUUGUCCUGUCUCAGCUGCCAUCACCCCACCAGGCCCCCAAAAUGUGCUCUGGGGCCCAUCCCGCCACAAAGCCUGGGGUCUCACUGCUCCUCUCCUAGAACGGCCACUUUUCUUCUUUACGCAGGGGUCACGCUCCAGGCCUUUCUCCAAGCCCUCCCCGCGCUGGGACGCAUUUACCCGCCUGCCUGUUGACUUCGGCUGGCACCCACUCCUGGGCUGCUCAGAGCUGCUGCUCCCUGUUGAUGAGCACUGUAGGUGGCUUCGAGAUGCACGCCUCGGGACGAUCUGCCUUCCUCCCCCGCCUGCCAUUCCCGCACUGACAAACGUCUGCCCUGGGUGUUAGGAGCGAGGUGCACAUUGCACCUUACAUCCUCAUGGGCGGCUCCAGGAGCCUCACUGCAGCUGAUGAGUACUUAACACCAUCAUCCAUCUGUGUGGCCGUUGGGGCUGGCACAGAAGCUCUGGAUGCCUCUACCUGGAAACCAGGGCUGUUCUCCCUGGAUGGCAGGAAGGAAGCAGGUGGGAGGCGGGCGGAGGUGCUUGUUCCACCGGCACUCCUGGGUUCUGAGGACAUGGCACUUCCCCGCCUGUGUCUUGCUUUGGCCAUAGGUUCUGAGCUUCUGCUUCUCCUCUGUGGGUACGAGGGCCGCUCUGGCAUUAUGUCUUCUAGACCUGCGCCUCCUUCAGACGUCAGGGCCGUGCACUCAGACACCUCCAGUGAAAGCUUUUGGGGUUUGGAUGGAUGGACAGAUGGACAAAUUAACAGCAUUCUGCACUUGGAAUGACAAAACUUUAGGCAAGAAAAGGGUCAUUGGAGAAUAUCUAGUCCAACACUCUAAUGGGAUAGAGAGGGAAACUGAGGCCAGCAGAAAGCAUGUCACCUGACCCAGUCACAGCCCUUGGAUACAGAGGGAAACUGAGGCCAGCAGAAAGGAUGUCACUGGACCCAGUCAGCCCUUGGAUAGAGAGGGAAACUGAGGCCAGCAGAAAGUGUGUCACCAGACCCAGUCAGCCCUUGGAUAGAGAGGGAAACUAACGCCAGCACAAAGGAUGUCACCGGACCCAGUCAGCCCUUGGCCUAGGACCUGCAGACAGGCCACCUGCUGCUUCUGUGACCCCCACAGCCCAGACUCACACAUCUUCCUCCAGGUCAGGGAGUGAAGGGGUCUGCAGUCCUCUCCAACUGAGGGCAGGGACAGUCUCUACGUCCUGAGACCCCAGGCCCCUGACCUACCUGCCGGCCUGCCUGGCAAGGGCACACCUAUCAGGUUGCACCAUAAGGCCACCGGGCUGGGUCUGACUCACCCACAAUCCAUCAGCCUGCUGGUCUUUACACAUUCUGGGAGAGGCAAGAAUCUCUGUAGUUGCUAAAACACUUCCUCUUGGUUAUUCUGAGAACUAAAAACACACAUUAUUUGAAAGUCUUGGGUUUAGUCUAAUCUAAACCCCUCAGGUCGUGACUUAAGCUCUGGCCUCAGAGGUCUCCAUUUAUGCUUGGAUGAGCCACUCCUUUGGUCUUUGUCCCCUCACUGGAAGGCAUGUCCAUGAGGAAAUGGGGAGAAGAAUAUAGAGCUAUGAACUUGGAAUUUUGGUGUCAGAAGGACCUAGGUUCAAGUUCAGGCUCUAUCACUAGCUAGGGACCUCACUUUCUUCAUCUGUAGACUGACGAUAAUAAUAGUACAUACCUCAAAAGAGCUGUGCAGAUUCAAAGUGAUCCUGUGUCUAAACCUUUCUGUAUGAUGUCUGGUACCAAGUGAAUGCCCAGAAAACGGGUCACCCAGGAGCCCACGGGCCUCAGCGUUGAAGACCCCACAACGGCUGUCUCCAGUGAAUAGGAGCAACCUCAAGCUCUCUCCAUGACGGCCGCAGAGCCUGGAGACCUGGUGCAGACCCCUCCUGCUCCCCCCAGCAGCUUCACAGCAACCAGAUGCAUGGGGUCUGCACCCUGGCAGGCCAGCCCCACACCCAUCACUGCACCCUGGCAGGCCAGCCCCACGCCCAUCGCUGCACCCUGGCAGGCCAGCCCCGCGCCCAUCGCUGCACCCUGGCAGGCCAGCCCCGCGCCCAUCGCUGCACCCUGGCAGGCCAGCCCCGCGCCCAUCGCUGCACCCUGGCAGGCCAGCCCCGCGCCCAUCGCUGCACCCUGGCAGGCCAGCCCCGCGCCCAUCGCUGCACCCUGGCAGGCCAGCCCCGCGCCCAUCCACACGCCUGGGAAACCCCAGCCACACGCCUCCACCCGCUCCCAUCUCAGCAGCACACUGUGACCCAAACACGGGCUGUGGGUUCAGAGACCUGGGUUCCGGAAGUCUAAGCUCAGCUGCUGACUGCCCUGUGACCAACGGGUCAGCCCCCACCCUGCACUUCUGUCCACACAUCGUGGCGACCUGCUGGUCACCGGCCACGCCUGGCACACAGGAUGUGCUCAGUAAAGCCUGGGCUCGUGAGUGCCACGCACAAGUUCAACAGAGGAAGCUGCAGAGCAACGGCUACGCAGGCCAGGACGGGAGGCCCGGGGAGGCCAAGGGCAUGCUGAGGCCAGGACGGGAGGCCCGGGGAGGCCAAGGGCAUGCUGAGGCCAGGAUGGGAGGCCCGGGGAGGCCAAGGGCAUGCUGAGGCCAGGACGGGAGGUCCGGGGAGGCCAAGGGCAUGCUGAGCCCAGGACGGGAGGCCCGGGGAGGCCAAGGGCAUGCUGAGCCCAGGACGGGAGGCCCGGGGAGGCCAAGGGCAUGCUGAGGCCAGGACGGGAGGCCCGGGGAGGCCAAGGGCGUGCUGAGGCCAGGACGGGAGGCCCGGGGAGGCCAAGGGCGUGCUGAGGCCAGGACGGGAGGCCCGAGGAGGCCAAGGGCAUGCUGAGGUCUAGGUGGGAGGCCCAGGGAGGCUAGGGGUGCCCGGAGGUCUGGGCGGGAGGGUGGUGGGAAUACCAAUAGCUGAGCUGCUCUGCAAGUGCUCACAGGCACCCACGGGGGGCCAGCCGAGCACAGGAGUUUGCUGCUGCCAGGAAGACACCGACGUGGCCCAGAACCAGGAAAGCUGCUGCUGCCGUGAGAUCAGGGCUGGUGGGGCCAGACAGCGGCAGGGGCCGAGGACACUCCUGGUCCUAGUGCUGGGAAGUCGGAGCCAGGCGCUUCCUCAGUCCCCCAACCUAGCCAGGCUCCCAGGCCAGCCCCUUGCCAUGGACGCCUCUGCUAGACGUGAGGACAAGAGGCACUGCUGCCAUGGGGCCCUUUCCUGGGUUCAGCCCAGCAUGGUUGAGAUGUGUCCCUGUGGUGUCAGAGAAAAGGAGGGACGUGCGGUUCAGUAACUGGCCCAGAGCGCCCAGAGCCGCACAGCCAGUGACAGAUGCUCAUGGACUACCGGCCUCCUCCCGUCCCUCAGGGGAUUGCAGGUGUAGGGAAAGGGCAUUCCCCGGGGCAGGGGAACUCGAGUGGAGGGCCGGCACUCUGGAGAACUUGAACCCAGGCCGACUCGGUUGCCCUCCCACCUGAGCCGGGAGUAAGGUUGCGCCAAGGAGCAGGCGUGACAUCAGCUCAAACAGGAGGGGAGGGAAGGAGCCCCAGCGCCGCAUCCCCCCUUGCCCAGGCCUCCCUGGGCUCCUCCUGCACAGGAUGGGGUGAGGCCAGGACUGAGAGCAGCCUAUGGGCACUGACCGGAGUCCAGGGAGCCCAGCACUCCCUCCAUGGUCCUCGCCGUCCGACUGCUGGGAUCCACUUGGGGUCAGUGCCCAGUGGGCCUGAGAGCCCCUAGGGCAGAGGACAGACCCACCCCCGCAUCAUGCCCACUCUGCCACACCCAGCUGGGGGAACCUGGACUCGCAGCUGCCCCUCCGAGCUGUGGGUUCCUGAGGAACAAGGGUCAGAGGUGACCUCUCCCCCUCACCUGUUCCUUUGGAGACUGUGAGAUAAAACUGAAUGGAUUCAGAAGCUGAACCGAGGGCAGAGGCCAAGAGGCUACAGGAUGAGUGGGGCCCCGGUGUGUGUACGUGGAGCUGGGCUGUAUGGGAUGGGUGGGGGACCUGGUGUGUGGACAUGGAGCUGGGCUGUAGGGGAUGGGUGGGGGCCCUGGUGUGUGGAUGUGGAGCCGGGAUGUGGUCAGGCUCCCCAGCUGCCCACAAGGGACAGUGCCAUUAGGCGGAUGCUGCCCUUGGGGAAUGGCUUUGGGGUGUCAAGAGGAUCUGGCUCUAGCCCUUGCUCCCCCAGGCCAGCCAGGCUGGUUCCCUCUGUGGGGCCUGGACAUCAUGGGCUGGCCCUGGAGUGGCUGCCGCCUUCCAUCCAUGAACCAGCUUCAUCUCACUGUCAUUAAAAACCCAGGUGUCGGCUGGGUGCGGUGGCUCAUGCCUGUGAUCCCAGCACUUUGGGAGGCCGAGGUGGGUGGAUCACGAGGUCACAUCGAGACCAUCCUGGCUAACACGGUGAAACCCCGUCUCUACUAAAAAUACAAAAAAAUUAGCCGGGCGUGGUGGCGGGCGCCUGCAGUCCCGGCUACUCAGGAGGCUGAG